Molecule: long non-coding RNA, 1706 nt
Organism: Anser brachyrhynchus (Pink-footed goose)
Lineage: Eukaryota; Metazoa; Chordata; Aves; Anseriformes; Anatidae
Source: Ensembl
AUGCGGCGCCACGCGCGGCCCCUGGGCGUGCUGGCAGCCGUGGCCAAGGGACUCUUCCUCCUCUGGGCCGUGCCAGCGCGGAGCACGCAGCCCCCGACCCUGCAGCAGAUCCACGCACUGGUGCGGCACAUGGCCGAGGACGCGCGGGAGCUCUUCCUCUUCUACGAGCAGGACCAGCGCCUGGCCUUCAGCUGGCUGUGCCGCACCAACGCCUCGCUGGAGUGGCUGCGGGGGACGGUGGUGAUGGGGACCGGGGGGCUGCGGGCACUGCACGGGGCCAUGGCCCACAUGGACCGGGCGCUGCAGGGAAUCACCCAGCACCAGCGCGACCUCAACCCCCCCGGGGCCCCCAUCCUGCGCCGCCUCGACAGCACCCGCCUGAAGGUGCGGGGCCUCCUCAGCAACCUGGAGGGCGUCCUCCAUGCCCAUGGCAUCGUCCCCACCGUCCCCACCCUGCCCCGGCUGCCGGCGGCCACCAGAGUCUUCCAGCAGAAGGUGGAGGGGUGCCGGAUCCUCUGGAGCUACGCACGCUUCACGGAGCAGCUCAGCGCCCAGCUGGAGGAGCGAGGGCUGCGGGCACGCCGGGAGGAGCAGAGGCAGCAGCGGCGAGGCCGGCGGCGAAGCCGGCGGCCAGCAAGGUCCUAGGGAGCCCCUGCCACCCCCGCUGCUCUCACCCGAGCUGUCCCCAGCACCCUGGGGCUUGUGGUUGGAUGCGGAGAGCCUGGUGCGUGGCUGGCACUGGCACAGACGUCCCCCAGGUGCCACCGCAUGUGGAGGCCGGCACCGGCCAGCGGGGUCACUCUGGGUUGGUGACGUCCCCCGUUGCCAGCCCUGCCUGAUUUUCCAGUGAUUCAAUGGGUCUGGUGACAUGUCCUGACUAAGGGGCCGCUCGCACGGCACCCGCACGCCCGGCGCAGGCAGGGUGCAGCCCCAGACCGACAGUGGCCACUUGUGCCACUGGCAUGUCACCUGCGUGUCACCCCCUGCCUGCCUCUCGAGGGGUUCGCUGAACCCGGAGAGCAUCUGGGGGAGGUUUUUCUUGUGCCUGGUGUGCCCAUCAGCCUGGCGUCCCCGUGAGCUUGGUGUCCCCACGAGCCUGGAGGCCCCAUGAGCCUGGUGUCCCCGUGCACUCAGUGUCCCUGCAAGCUUGGUGGCCUUACACCCUCAGUGUCCUCGCGAGCGCAGUGUCCCUGUGCUCAUCCCUGCACGCCUGGUGUCCGUGCGCCUAUCCCUGUGCCUCAUGUCCCUGCAUUGUGUCCCCACGCCCUCAGCAUCCCUGUGCCCACCCCUGUGCCCUCGGUGUCCCCAGAGUCCCCAAGCCCCUCGGCAAGCCCUGCCUGUGCUGGGCAUGGGCUGGGGCUGUGGCCCCGCACUGUGCGGGUGGGCACCGGCCCCCCCAGUAACUUAUAGUGACAGUGGUGCAGCUCCCCUAUUUAUUAAAGCCAUCGGUUUAAUUUAAUACGUCCCUGAUCUGGGGAGAAAUAUUUAAGGAUACAUUUUUUAAUAUAUAAAUAUAUAUAUCUAUUUUUGUUAUUUUUUUUGUACUGUGUUAAACUGUAAAUGUAACAAUGUUUUAUUUAUGAAUCUAAAUAUUAUUUUGUACUGGGAGAAGGGCACCAGGCCACCCUGGCCAGGUGGUGCCCCCUUAUUUUUAUAUCACAGCAGACGGAAAUAAAGCAUUGACCUCGGCCUGUGGGCCGCUGCCU